UACGUAGGGGGCUAGCGUUGUCCGGAAUCAUUGGGCGUAAAGAGCGUGUAGGCGGUCCGGUAAGUCCGCUGUGAAAGUCGGGGGCUCAACCCUCGAAUGCCGGUGGAUACUGUCGGGCUAGAGUGCGGAAGAGGAGAAUGGAAUUCCUGGUGUAGCGGUGGAAUGCGUAGAGAUCCGGAAGAACACCGGUGGCGAAGGCGGGUCUCUGGGCCGAUACUGACGCUGAGGAGCGAAAGCGUGGGGAGCGAACAGG
This 253-nucleotide ribosomal RNA is filed under the name uncultured bacterium. RNAcentral's name for it is "partial 16S ribosomal RNA". It matches the Rfam family "Bacterial small subunit ribosomal RNA", at positions 524 to 776 of the family's 1533-position model. The record is from RNAcentral.